AGUGAACGCUGGCGGCAUGCCUAAUACAUGCAAGUCGAACGGCCGCACAGUAAGCGUUCGCCUCUACCGGUGGCGAGGGACGGACGGGUGACGAAUGCAUCGCAUACCUCUUUUUCGUGGGUGACUACGUAGGGACACUUAUGCUAAUACCGCAUACGUCCUACGGCUGAAUUCAGUGGUUCUUCGCACUUUUCCCGUCUCUAUGAGCCGAUGUCGGAUUAGCUAGUUGGCGUGGUAAAGUCCCACCAAGGCGACGAUCCGUAGCUGGUCUGAGAGGAUGAUCGGCCACACUGGAACUGAGACACGGUCCAGACUCCUACGGGAGGCAGCAGUAGGGAAUAUUGCGCAAUGGGCGCAAGCCUGAUCCAGCCACGCCGCGUGAGUGAAGAAGGCCUUCGGGUUGUAAAGCCCUUUUAUUGGGAAAGAAAAGCAGCGUAUUAAUACCCCGCUGUUCUGACGGUACCCAAAGAGUAAGCACCGGCUAACUUCGUG
Molecule: ribosomal RNA, 492 nt
Filed under: uncultured bacterium
Lineage: Bacteria
Description: partial 16S ribosomal RNA
Rfam family: Bacterial small subunit ribosomal RNA
Source: RNAcentral